GUGGGGAAUAUUGGACAAUGGGCGAAAGCCUGAUCUAGCCAUGCCGCGUGUGUGAAGAAGGUCUUCGGAUUGUAAAGCACUUUAAGUUGGGAGGAAGGGCAGUAAGUUAAUACCUUGCUGUUUUGACGUUACCGACAGAAUAAGCACCGGCUAACUUCGUGCCAGCAGCCGCGGUAAUACGAAGGGUGCAAGCGUUAAUCGGAAUUACUGGGCGUAAAGCGCGCGUAGGUGGUUUUGAAGUUGGAGGUGAAAUCCCCGGGCUCAACCUGGGAACUGCCUCCAAAACUGCAUGACUAGAGUACGGUAGAGGGUAGUGGAAUUUCCUGUGUAGCGGUGAAAUGCGUAGAUAUAGGAAGGAACACCAGUGGCGAAGGCGACUACCUGGACUGAUACUGACACUGAGGUGCGAAAGCGUGGGGAGCAAACAGGAUUAGAAACCCGUGUAGUCC
RNAcentral lists this ribosomal RNA (449 nucleotides) under uncultured bacterium. RNAcentral's name for it is "partial 16S ribosomal RNA". It matches the Rfam family "Bacterial small subunit ribosomal RNA", at positions 354 to 796 of the family's 1533-position model. The record is from RNAcentral.